This 1234-nucleotide ribosomal RNA is filed under the name metagenome. RNAcentral's name for it is "bacterial SSU rRNA". It matches the Rfam family "Bacterial small subunit ribosomal RNA", at positions 8 to 1196 of the family's 1533-position model. The record is from RNAcentral.
AGAGUUUGAUUCUGGCUCAGAACGAACGCUGGCAGCGUGGAUUAGGCAUGCAAGUCGAACGGGAAGCUGUGUGUUCAAUCUUUCGGGAGAGAACGUGCGGUGGAGAGUGGCGGAAGGGUGAGUAACGCGUGGGUAAUCUACCUCUGAGUUGGGGACAACCCGCCGAAAGGCGGGCUAAUACCGAAUACGGUCAUCUGUCACCUGGCGGAAUGACUAAAGGUGGGGAUCCUUUUGGACCUGCCGCUUGGAGAGGAGCCCGCGUGCCAUCAGCUUGUUGGUGAGGUAACGGCUCACCAAGGCUUACGGCUAGCCGGCCUGAGAGGGUGUUCGGCCACACUGGGACUGAGACACUGCCCAGACUCCUACGGGAGGCUGCAGUCGAGGAUCAUUGUCAAUGCGCGAAAGCGUGAACAUGCGACGCUGCGUGGAGGAUGACGGCCUUAGGGUUGUAAACUCCUGUCAUUCGGGAAAAACGGCCCCAACGAGAAUAUCGUUGGGGUGUGAUGGUACCGGAAGAGGAAGCCACGGCUAACUCUGUGCCAGCAGCCGCGGUAAUACAGAGGUGGCGAGCGUUGUUCGGAUUUACUGGGCGUAAAGGGUGCGUAGGUGGCAUCGUGUGUCGGAUGUGAAAUCCCAUGGCUCAACCAUGGAACUGCAUUCGAAACUGCGGAGCUAGAGUGCAAGAGGGGAGAGCGGAAUUCUUGGUGUAGCGGUGAAAUGCGUUGAUAUCAAGAAGAACACCGGUGGCGAAGGCGGCUCUCUGGAAUGUUACUGACACUGAGGCACGAAAGCUGGGGGAGCAAACAGGAUUAGAUACCCUGGUGGUCCCAGCCGUAAACGGUGUGCACUUGGUGUGGGGGGUAUUGAUCCCCUCCGUGCCGGAGCUAACGCGUUAAGUGCACCGCCUGGGGAGUACGGCCGCAAGGCUAAAACUCAAGAAAUUGACGGGGGCCCGCACAAGCGGAGGAGCAUGUGGCUUAAUUCGAUGCAACGCGAAGAACCUUACCAGGGCUUGACAUGCAGCUGCAUUCUCCUUGAAAGGGGAGAAGCCUUCGAGGGUGCUGCACAGGUGCUGCAUGGCUGUCGUCAGUUCGUGCCGUGAGGUGUUGGGUUAAGUCCCGCAACGAACGCAACCCCUGUGGCUAGUUGCCACCACCGGUGAUGAGCCGGUGAGCACUCUAGCCAGACUGCCUGUACAAGCAGGAGGAAGGUGGGGACGACGUCAAGUCAGUAU